UUAAUGUCCAGGAGAGUGGCCCUCCGCAUGGAGGGUUGACUAGAGAUUUAUCGGUAUGGGAUGAGCUUGCGUCCGAUUAGCUAGUUGGCGGGGCAACGGCCCACCAAGGCGACGAUCGGUAGCCGGCCUGAGAGGGUGAUCGGCCACAUUGGGACUGAGAUACGGCCCAGACUCCUACGGGAGGCAGCAGUAGGGAAUAUUGCACAAUGGGGGAAACCCUGAUGCAGCAACGCCACGUGUGGGAAGAAGCAUUUCGGUGUGUAAACCACUGUCAUGAGGGAAUAAGGCCCGCCUCCGGGCGGGAUUGAAUGUACCUUGAGAGGAAGCACCGGCAAACUUCGUGCCAGCAGCCGCGGUAAUACGAGGGGUGCAAGCGUUGUUCGGAAUUACUGGGCGUAAAGGGAGCGUAGGCGGAGAUUCAAGCGGAUUGUACAAUCCCGGGGCCCAACCCCGGCUCUGCAGUCCGAACUGGAUCUCUUGGAUAGUUCAGGGGCAGGCGGAAUUCCUGGUGUAGCGGUGGAAUGCGUAGAGAUCAGGAAGAACACCGAUGGCGAAGGCAGCCUGCUGGGGACUUAUCGACGCUGAGGCUCGAAAGUGCGGGUAGCAAACAGGAUUAGAUGCCCUGGUAGUCCGCACCGUAAACAAUGCAUACUGGGUGUCCGGGGGUUCCCCCGGGUACCGUAGCCAACGCGUUAAGUAUGCCGCCUGGGGAGUACGUACGCAAGUAUGAAACUCAAAGGAAUUGUCGGGGGCCCGCACAAGCGGUGGAGCAUGUGGUUUAAUUCAAAGCAACGCGCAGAACCUUACCAGGGUUUGACAUGGGAACGCCGCGGCGAGAGAUAAUCACUA
RNAcentral lists this ribosomal RNA (849 nucleotides) under uncultured Fibrobacter sp. Its description in RNAcentral is "bacterial SSU rRNA". It matches the Rfam family "Bacterial small subunit ribosomal RNA", at positions 163 to 1015 of the family's 1533-position model. The record is from RNAcentral. Lineage: Bacteria; Pseudomonadati; Fibrobacterota; Fibrobacteria; Fibrobacterales; Fibrobacteraceae.